Molecule: long non-coding RNA, 661 nt
Organism: Gallus gallus (chicken)
Lineage: Eukaryota; Metazoa; Chordata; Aves; Galliformes; Phasianidae
Source: Ensembl
CCUCACUUAAGGGUUGACCCUUGCUAGGAAGGGGUCUCUGAUUGGAGAUCUUUUCUCUGCAGAAGUUUCUUCUGCAAGCCUAGAUCCUCAGAGACUGCAUUCAGGAACAUCUGCAAGUUGGUCCAAAAGGUAUAUGGAAGCCCCAGGGAGAAGACAACUGUACCAUACCUCACAACAAAGUCAACAGGUACUGAUGAAAGAAGUGUGACGUCCAAGAACCACCUUCGGUAUUGCCCAAAUUCUUUCAUAACAGGCCAUCUUACUGCAGGAUGCUAUACUGCCAUGCCUUACCAAAACAAAGUUUGCCAGGACUAGAAGAGACCUGCCAGAUGAUAAAUGUUAUGAAGAAUAUGGUGACAUUUAGAAGAGAGAUCUGAGGAAAGUUAUCUCUCUGUCACUUUUUUCAGAAGCACUUUACAAGCUCCUUGUGCCCCCCAGUCUCCUUGCUGGCUGGACAAUAUGAGAAGCUGAGAAACAGAACUGUUCUUGGCUCCAUGCAGCACUGCUCAGCAACAGCUAGAAACACUGAUUUGUUAUCAGCAUUUUUUUUCUCCUAAGCAUCAUACCAGACACCAUGAAGGAAAAUUCAACUCUGUCCCAGCUGAAACCAGGAAAGAAUUAUAUGAAAUUCUCAGCAUCAUAUACAAUAGAUCCUUUCCUG